UCCUUCCUACGGGACGCAGCAGUGGGGAAUAUUGCACAAUGGGGGAAACCCUGAUGCAGCGACGCCGCGUGAGUGAAGAAGUAGUUCGGUAUGUAAAUCUCUAUCAGCAGGGAAGAAAAUGACGGUACCUGACUAAGAAGCCCCGGCUAACUACGUGCCAGCAGCCGCGGUAAUACGUAGGGGGCAAGCGUUAUCCGGAUUUACUGGGUGUAAAGGGAGCGUAGGUGGCAUGGUAAGCCAGAAGUGAAAACCCGGGGCUCAACCCCGCGGAUUGCUUUUGGAACUAUCAGGCUGGAGUGCUGGCG
RNAcentral lists this ribosomal RNA (305 nucleotides) under uncultured bacterium. Its description in RNAcentral is "bacterial SSU rRNA". It matches the Rfam family "Bacterial small subunit ribosomal RNA", at positions 333 to 654 of the family's 1533-position model. The record is from RNAcentral.